This is a non-coding RNA of Castor canadensis (American beaver), 1435 nucleotides long. The record is from RefSeq and is a predicted model, not a curated record. Lineage: Eukaryota; Metazoa; Chordata; Mammalia; Rodentia; Castoridae.
GGGGCGGCUGCCGGUGUGUCUGCUCGCCAGCACCUCGCCCCGCCCCGCCCCUGCCUCCGCCGCGGCCUCCGCCUCCGCCUCCGCCUCUUUUUCUUGCCGCCGCCGCCACUCCCCUGCCCCGGGAGCGGCCGCGGAGCCGCCGCCCAGACCGUGUCGCGCGGGAGGCGGGAUCCGCACGAAAUAAAUCAGAAUGAGUUAUGCAGAAAAACCCGAUGAAAUAACGAAAGAUGAGUGGAUGGAAAAGCUCAACAACUUACAUGUCCAGCGAGCAGACAUGAACCGUCUCAUCAUGAACUACCUGGUCACAGAGGGCUUUAAGGAAGCAGCAGAGAAGUUUCGAAUGGAAUCUGGGAUUGAACCAAGUGUAGAUCUAGAAACACUUGAUGAGAGAAUCAAGAUUCGGGAGAUGAUUCUGAAGGGUCAGAUUCAGGAGGCCAUUGCCCUGAUCAACAGCCUCCACCCAGAGCUCUUAGACACAAACCGGUAUCUGUACUUUCAUCUACAGCAACAGCACCUGAUUGAGCUGAUCCGCCAACGUGAGACUGAGGCGGCAUUGGAAUUCGCCCAGACACAGCUGGCAGAGCAGGGUGAGGAGAGCAGAGAGUGCCUCACAGAGAUGGAGCGCACACUGGCCCUGCUGGCCUUUGAUAGCCCUGAGGAGUCACCCUUCGGAGACCUCCUUCAUAUGAUGCAGAGGCAAAAGGAAAGAAUAUAUAAAUUUGUAAAUCCUUACUCAAAGAUGAUUUGUGUGCAGUUUUGGAGAGUGGAGGAACCAGAGUUCCAGAAGGACUUACACAUUUGAUGAUAAAGACACAAACAUCAUCACGAUAAUGGAUCAGGAGUCCCUUCCGGGUUGUGGCUGUCCACUCUCAGUAUGAAGAAAAGACCAAAUGAAGAGCGUCAGACAGCAAUGUGGUAGGUCACGAUGGUAGGUGUCACUGGAGUGCUUGAGUAUGAGCUCUUGCAUGUCAGUCUGAGAGGCUUGGGACCACCUUACACAUAUGACCUGCUGUCCUAGAUGCUCUCCCUCCAUUUUGGAAUGUUUUCCUCACUUUUUAUUUACCUAAAAGGACCUUAGUAUAACUUGCUAUGGCAGACUUAACGUGAGCCUGUGUGUCCAUGGUAGAGUGUCCUGGGGUAGUCUGCCUCUUCCAGAAGCCAUGGAAUGUCUGAUGGUAGAGGGGCUUGGACACUCAGAGUGGCACAGGAGGAGAACUGUGAGUGGUGAAUUGGGAUGUGUUGUCUCAGGGUGUGUGUAGAUAUUUAACAGGAUGUGGUGCUCUGUUCAUCUGCAGUUUGUCAAUGUUUCCUAGAUGGAAGGCCAAGUAAGGGUCCAGUGUGACCAUAAUACAGAAGAAAAACCUGCUAGUGGAGCAACAAACCCAUUGACACCUGGCUGUGACCAAGAGAUAUAACUGUGGAAGAUGCACGGACU